Non-coding RNA from Triticum aestivum (bread wheat), 115 nucleotides. The record is from Rfam. NCBI's taxonomy places the organism in Eukaryota, Viridiplantae, Streptophyta, Magnoliopsida, Poales, Poaceae.
CUUGUACUCCCUCCGUCCGAAAAUACUUGUCAUUGAAAUGGAUGUAUCUAGAUGUAUUUUAGUUCUAGACACAUCCAUUUUGAUGACAAGUAAUUCCGGAUGGAGGGAGUACUUG